Molecule: ribosomal RNA, 378 nt
Filed under: uncultured bacterium
Lineage: Bacteria
Description: bacterial SSU rRNA
Rfam family: Bacterial small subunit ribosomal RNA
Source: RNAcentral
ACUCCUACGGGAGGCAGCAGUGGGGAAUAUUGCACAAUGGGGGAAACCCUGAUGCAGCCAUGCCGCGUGUGUGAAGAAGGCCUUCGGGUUGUAAAGCACUUUCAGUAGGGAGGAAGGUAGUGUAGUUAACACCUGCAUUAUUUGUACGUUACCUACAGAAGAAGCACCGGCUAACUCCGUGCCAGCAGCCGCGGUAAGUACGGAGGGUGCGAGCGUUAAUCGGAAUUACUGGGCGUAAAGCGCAUGCAGGCGGCCUGUUAAGUCAGAUGUGAAAGCCCGGGGCGUUAACCUCGGAAUUGCAUUUGAAACUGGCAGGCUAGAGUCGUUGUAAGAGGGGGUUAGAAUUUCAGGUUGUAGCGGUGAAAUGCGUAGAAGAUC